UAUAUUUAUAUGAACUUGUGUUUCUCUUACAUAGAAUGUUGGAUCAUGAUCAAUAAAAUUACACUAUUUUGAAUAAUAAGUUCCAAAACAGCCAUCUAAUAAAUUUAAAAACUAACAGUAAAAUCCAAAUAGAUGGGUGAUUUUAGCUAAACUUUUAUAAGAUAACCAAAGCUCUAUAUGAACAAAAAUACACUAGGACUUGUUUUCUCUUACAUCAGAUGCAAUAUUUUUAUAGAGAUAUAUAUAUGGCUGUAAGUUAUUAUGACAGACAAACUGGCAAAAAUAUUGCACUCUGAACAGGCAUCCACUGAUCCACAUAAACAAAGACAAAGGUCCCCUAAUCCCUAUACACAUUUUAGCUUAUUACACUCUUUCCCAAUCCCCACUCAAUCAACCACUUGACUUCACAUACAUAAAACUCCACAAUUAAAGUAACCAAAUUUCUCAAACCCCCCAUCAACUUUUUUCCAUUACACCCAUAAUAAUUUGGA
This is a non-coding RNA of Benincasa hispida (wax gourd), 491 nucleotides long. The record is from RefSeq and is a predicted model, not a curated record. Lineage: Eukaryota; Viridiplantae; Streptophyta; Magnoliopsida; Cucurbitales; Cucurbitaceae.